GACGAACGCUGGCGGCGUGCUUAACACAUGCAAGUCGAACGGAAAGGCCCUGCUUUUGUGGGGUGCUCGAGUGGCGAACGGGUGAGUAACACGUGAGUAACCUGCCCUUGACUUUGGGAAAACUUCAGGAAACUGGGGCUAAUACCGGAUAGGAGCUCCUGCUGCAUGGUGGGGGUUGGAAAGUUUCGGCGGUUGGGGCUGGACUCGCGGCUUAUCAGCUUGUUGGUGGGGCAGUGGCUUACCAAGGCUUUGACGGGUAGCCGGCCUGGGAGGGUGACCGGCCACAUUGGGACUGAGGUACGGCCCAGACUCCUACGGGAGGCAGCAGUGGGGAAUAUUGCACAAUGGGCGGAAGCCUGAUGCAGCAACGCCGCGUGCGGGAUGACGGCCUUCGGGUUGUAAACCGCUUUCGCCUGUGACGAAGCGUGAGUGACGGUAAUGGGUAAAGAAGCACCGGCUAACUACGUG
This 468-nucleotide ribosomal RNA is filed under the name uncultured bacterium. RNAcentral's name for it is "partial 16S ribosomal RNA". It matches the Rfam family "Bacterial small subunit ribosomal RNA", at positions 28 to 507 of the family's 1533-position model. The record is from RNAcentral.